RNAcentral lists this non-coding RNA (24 nucleotides) under Gossypium hirsutum (cotton). The record is from RNAcentral. Lineage: Eukaryota; Viridiplantae; Streptophyta; Magnoliopsida; Malvales; Malvaceae.
AUCAAGGGGGUGCCAGAUACGACA